This 253-nucleotide ribosomal RNA is filed under the name uncultured bacterium. RNAcentral's name for it is "partial 16S ribosomal RNA". It matches the Rfam family "Bacterial small subunit ribosomal RNA", at positions 524 to 776 of the family's 1533-position model. The record is from RNAcentral.
GACGGGGGGUCCAAGCGUUGUUCGGAAUCAUUGGGCGUAAAGCGUGUGCAGGUGGUUUUGUAAGUUGGAUGUGAAAGCCCCGGGCUUAACCCGGGAAGUGCAUUCAAAACUGCAAAACUUGAGUAUGGAAGAGGGUCGUGGAAUUCCUGGUGUAGUGGUGAAAUACGUAGAUAUCAGGAGGAACACCGGUGGCGAAGGCGGCGACCUGGUCCUAUACUGACACUCAUACACGAAAGCGUGGGUAGCAAACAGG